Molecule: non-coding RNA, 23 nt
Filed under: Cricetulus griseus (Chinese hamster)
Lineage: Eukaryota; Metazoa; Chordata; Mammalia; Rodentia; Cricetidae
Source: RNAcentral
UCUUGAAGAAACUGGCAUUUAAA